AGAGUUUGAUCCUGGCUCAAGAUGAACGCUAGCGGCAGGCCUAAUACAUGCAAGUCGAACGGUAACAGGGUAGCAAUACCGCUGACGAGUGGCGCACGGGUGCGUAACGCGUAUGCAACUUACCUUAAACUGGGAGAUAGCCCCUCGAAAGAGGGAUUAAUACCCCAUAGUAAUUAGAUGAGGCAUCUCAUUUAGUUUAAAGCUCCGGCGGUUUAAGAUAGGCAUGCGUGACAUUAGCUAGUUGGUGAGGUAAUGGCUCACCAAGGCUACGAUGUCUAGGGGUUCUGAGAGGAUGAUCCCCCACACUGGUACUGAGACACGGACCAGACUCCUACGGGAGGCAGCAGUAAGGAAUAUUGGUCAAUGGGCGCAAGCCUGAACCAGCCAUGCCGCGUGAAGGAUGACGGCCCUAUGGGUUGUAAACUUCUUUUGUACGGGAAUAAACCCAGGUACGUGUACCUGGCUGAAUGUACCGUAAGAAUAAGGAUCGGCUAACUCCGUGCCAGCAGCCGCGGUAAUACGGAGGAUCCAAGCGUUAUCCGGAUUCAUUGGGUUUAAAGGGUGCGUAGGCGGACUUAUAAGUCAGUGGUGAAAUCCUGCAGCUUAACUGCAGAACUGCCAUUGAUACUGUAAGUCUUGAGUGUGUUUGAAGUGGGCGGAAUGUGUCAUGUAGCGGUGAAAUGCUUAGAUAUGACACAGAACACCGAU
This 708-nucleotide ribosomal RNA is filed under the name uncultured Bacteroidota bacterium. RNAcentral's name for it is "bacterial SSU rRNA". It matches the Rfam family "Bacterial small subunit ribosomal RNA", at positions 8 to 713 of the family's 1533-position model. Lineage: Bacteria; Pseudomonadati; Bacteroidota. The record is from RNAcentral.